Molecule: ribosomal RNA, 450 nt
Filed under: uncultured bacterium
Lineage: Bacteria
Description: partial 16S ribosomal RNA
Rfam family: Bacterial small subunit ribosomal RNA
Source: RNAcentral
GUGGGGAAUAUUGGACAAUGGGCGCAAGCCUGAUCCAGCAAUGCCGCGUGGGUGAAGAAGGCCUUCGGGUUGUAAAGCCCUUUUGUACGGGAAGAAAUCAUACGGGUUAAUACCCUGGGUGGAUGACGGUACCGUAAGAAUAAGCACCGGCUAACUUCGUGCCAGCAGCCGCGGUAAUACGAAGGGUGCAAGCGUUAAUCGGAAUUACUGGGCGUAAAGCGUGCGUAGGUGGUUGUUCAAGUCUGUCGUGAAAGCCCUGGGCUCAACCUGGGAAUGGCGAUGGAAACUGGGCGACUAGAGUGCGGUAGAGGAUGGCGGAAUUCCCGGUGUAGCGGUGAAAUGCGUAGAGAUCGGGAGGAACAUCCGUGGCGAAGGCGGCCAUCUGGACCAGCACUGACACUGAGGCACGAAAGCGUGGGGAGCAAACAGGAUUAGAAACCCGUGUAGUCC